Molecule: long non-coding RNA, 1021 nt
Organism: Salvia miltiorrhiza (redroot sage)
Lineage: Eukaryota; Viridiplantae; Streptophyta; Magnoliopsida; Lamiales; Lamiaceae
Exons: 2
Source: RefSeq, a predicted model, not a curated record
UAUAAAUGCAUACAAACAUUGCUUAACCCAAUCAAAACUUCUUUCCUUUUCAGCAUUAUAUAAAUGUUAGAAUCAUGCUUCUUGUAGAUCUCAGGUUGUUUCUUGUCUGAAUUUAAAUCUCAAGGCAUGUUCACUACAUUAUUACAUUAGUUGUGACAAGCUAAGCUUCUCAUAACUAGCCAGAAAUUUUCUUCAUGGAUGAAUCCAAAUUUGCAGCAGGAGAUAGAAUGGGCUGAAUGAAGAUGGAGAAGCAGGGCACAUGCCCGAUUUUCGUCGCUGUGUAAUUUCUUUGAAAAUCCGGCAUGUGUCCUGGCCCUCCAUCUUCUUCCCUCAUUCUGAUGAAUUCAGACAAGAUCAUAAGUUGGAAGAAAAUAAAAAUAAAAAUCAUGCAGCUCAAGCAAAUGCCAUGGCUUCUGUUUCUGCUCUAACCAAGUUGGCGUAGAUGCCGCCGUCUAGGUUGGCAGCCAGCAGCGUGUCGUGGUCGCCGUAUUCGGCCACGGAGCCGUCGCGUAUGACGGCUAUGAAGUCCGCCUCUCUUAUUGUGGAGAGGCGGUGGGCCACCACGACGGUGGUGGCCCGCCUCGAGGCCUUCUUGAGCGCGCUCUGGAUGUGCCUCUCCGACUCUAAGUCGAGGGCGCUGCUCGCCUCGUCCAGCAGUAGCACCCUCGCCUUCUUCAGCACUGCCCGUGCUAUCGCAAUCCGCUGCUUCUGCCCGCCGGAGAGCUGCACACCGCUCUGCCCAACCUGCAACAAGGAAACACCAACAUUAGCCACAAAAUUAGAUCAAAUUUUGACACCUCUACCAAAUCUAUUUCAUCUUAUUUUAUAAAAUUUGAUUUACCUAUUAUAUGAUUGUAUCUAUUUAGUUUAAAGGCAAUUGUAUAAUUUAACAUACAUAUACAUGUAAUAAAUCCAAAUAUUUGGUUAUGUUUUAUAUUUUAAUAAUUAUUUAUAUAUUAAUAUCCAUUAUAAUUCCUUAUCCACAUAAUCUAGAAAAGUUCUCCAUCCACAUAAAUUACUA